RNAcentral lists this ribosomal RNA (960 nucleotides) under uncultured bacterium. Its description in RNAcentral is "bacterial SSU rRNA". It matches the Rfam family "Bacterial small subunit ribosomal RNA", at positions 8 to 1002 of the family's 1533-position model. The record is from RNAcentral.
AGAGUUUGAUCAUGGCUCAGAAUCAACGCUGGCGGCGCGCCUAACACAUGCAAGUCGAACGAGAAAGGGGAGCAAUCCCUGAGUACAGUGGCGUACGGGUGAGUAACACGUGGAUGAUCUACCUUCUGGUGAGGAAUAACCCUGGGAAACCGGGGCUAAUACCGCAUAAGCCCGAGAGGGGAAAGUCGCAAGACGCCGGAAGAGGAGUCCGCGGCCGAUUAGCUAGUUGGCAGGGUAAAAGCCUACCAAGGCGAAGAUCGGUAGCCGGCCUGAGAGGGCACACGGCCACACCGGCACUGAAACACGGGCCAGACUCCUACGGGAGGCAGCAGUGGGGAAUCUUGCACAAUGGGGGAAACCCUGAUGCAGCGACGCCGCGUGAGCGAUGAAGCCCUUCGGGGUGUAAAGCUCUUUCGGCAGGGAAGAUGAUGACGGUACCUGCAGAAGCAGCUGCGGCUAACUACGUGCCAGCAGCCGCGGUAAUACGUAGGCAGCAAGCGUUGUUCGGAGUUACUGGGCGUAAAGGGUGUGUAGGCGGUUGUUUAAGUUUGGUGUGAAAUCUCCCGGCUCAACUGGGAGGGUGCGCCGAAUACUGAAUGACUCGAGUGCGGGAGAGGAGAGUGGAAUUCCUGGUGUAGCGGUGAAAUGCGUAGAUAUCAGGAGGAACACCGGUGGUGUAGACGGCUCUCUGGACCGUAACUGACGCUGAGACACGAAAGCGUGGGUAGCAAACAGGAUUAGAUACCCUGGUAGUCCACGCCCUAAACGAUGCAUAUUUGGUGUGGGCAGUUCAGUCUGUCCGUGCCGGAGCUAACGCGUUAAAUAUGCCGCCUGGGGAGUACAGUCGCAAGGCUGAAACUCAAAGGAAUUGACGGGGCCCGCACAAGCGGUGGAGCAUGUGGUUCAAUUCGACGCAACGCGAAGAACCUUACCUGGGCUCGAACGGCUGUCAACGGAGUG